This 139-nucleotide ribosomal RNA is filed under the name uncultured bacterium. Its description in RNAcentral is "partial 16S ribosomal RNA". It matches the Rfam family "Bacterial small subunit ribosomal RNA", at positions 355 to 509 of the family's 1533-position model. The record is from RNAcentral.
UGGGGAAUAUUGCACAAUGGGGGGAAACCCUAGAUGCAGCGACGCCGCGUGAAGGAAGAAGUAUCUCGGUAUGUAAACUUCUAUCAGCAGGGAAGAUAGUGACGGUACCUGACUAAGAAGCCCCGGCUAACUACGUGCC